Molecule: long non-coding RNA, 768 nt
Organism: Panicum hallii
Lineage: Eukaryota; Viridiplantae; Streptophyta; Magnoliopsida; Poales; Poaceae
Exons: 2
Source: RefSeq, a predicted model, not a curated record
CUCUGAAUUUUAUUUUGCUACCGAUGCCUUUGUUUUGAAAUAAUAGUGCAAUUGACCAUCUCUGAAAUACUUUGCUCUCUGAGACAUUUGUUAAGCUUAAGAAAUUGAGUUAUAAGCAACUAUAUUGAAACUUCAGAACUAACAGAUUAUAGUAAAACCUAUUUUAGAUGAUUUGCUGUUGUAUGCUAAUCAUUGCUAGUUGUCUAUAUCUAUUUUUUCCAAUUUUCCUACUAUCUAAAUUUUUUCCAUUGCGGGAAAUUUUUCCUAUCUUACUAACAUAUGUCUUAUAGGAGAAGUGUCUGAAGGCCAAAAGUGAAUCGUGAGAAAGUUAAGUACCCUCACAAGACAGGCUCUAGGUGCUACAUUGCGCAGACCUAUGCCGUGCAUCGGUUGAGAAGCAAGCCAAAGAUGCCAUUCCAGGAAUCUGAAGCAGCAAGGGAGAAUCAAAGGGGCGAGAUUGAAAGUUUGAAGAAGCAAGGAGAGGAAACAAAUGCUCUUCUUCGCCGUCUGUUAUGCCUCAACAGGGAGUAGGUCCUUGACUACUUGCAGGUUCACGAUGUCGUCUAUUUAUUUUGCUACUUGUGGUUGGAUAGAUGUUUUGGCUCUACGGUGGAUGCUAUAUACUUUUUGGCUGUGAGUCCAUAGAGUUAUCUUGGCUGUUUAGUGAACAUAGAGUUAUCGAGUGACUUGGCUGUUUGUUUUUGGCUGUUUAUCGGAUGACUUGACAAGUGACGUGCUGUUUUGAAUGAAUAUGUUGUUUUGAAGUGA